GCCAAGCAUGGUGGUGCACAUCUGUAGUCCCAGUUACACAGGAGACUGAGGCAGGAGGAUCACAUGAGUUCAGGAGUUUGAUGCCAGCCUGGCAACAUAGUGAGACCCUGACUCUU
This 116-nucleotide small RNA is filed under the name Marmota monax (woodchuck). The record is from RNAcentral. Lineage: Eukaryota; Metazoa; Chordata; Mammalia; Rodentia; Sciuridae.